RNAcentral lists this small RNA (206 nucleotides) under Caenorhabditis elegans. Its description in RNAcentral is "Unclassified non-coding RNA Y41C4A.34". The record is from RNAcentral. Lineage: Eukaryota; Metazoa; Nematoda; Chromadorea; Rhabditida; Rhabditidae.
GUCAGUAAUGCGGCCUCCGCCAACAGCGCCACCUACCUCUGCAGCAACACCCAAUCGGAUUCUGCCAUCCAGCAAUGCGGCGUCACCAUACGGAUCUCCACUCGGUUCAUCAAUUCUGUCCAAUCAGCCACUCGUCUUGCCAUUCGCGCCGAUCAACGGGGAUUUUGAUUUUAGCGCGGCGAUCGCUGCCGCUUCACAGCCCAAAG